CUCGAGGAGCCACGUUUUUUGAGAAAAUGUGUCUCGGUUUCUUCCAUUUAAACCCUCGCUGCAGUUUUCAAAUUCAUGCAAAAUAUUCAGCAUAUUCAAGAGUUAAAAAAUUGUUGAAGUCAUUAUAAAUUUGAUAUUUCACUGCACAUUUGAGAUAUGAGUAGAAGAGCAAAGUCUUAAAGCAGAGCUUGUGAACAUAAUGAGGAUUUCCUUCAUUGUGCCAUGCGCCGCAGUGGGUGAUAAAUACGCCGCAAUGCAUGGAGCAUAAAUUAGAUUAAUAUGAUGUGUCUAGCUGGUAAAAAAUGGAAGGAAGAACAUGAGAGAAGAGAUCAAACAUGGAAAAGUGUAAGGGAUCUGCUAGGGCAAGCUAAAUCAAGAGCAAGGAUGGCGUCUCCAACUUGUUACUUAUCGGUGAAUAAAGGUAGGAGGCAUCACACCAAGGAGUGCUGGACAUAUUUCAAGUGCCACAAGAUUAGGCACAUUGAUCGUUAUUGCCUUGAGAAUGUUCCUCUUACUGACCAAAGGUCUACUAUUGAUGGUUGAGUGAUUGCUAUGUCCAGAGAGGAGGUUGAAGCUUUCCCAAAGCUUCUUUGAGAGCACGAAACUUCGACAGAGAGCAAGAGGAUGCAGAUCGCCGGUAGUGAUUUUAAUGGUUAAGCUUCAUAAUAGGAUACUUCAUAUGAGAUUUUAAGUAUUCUAAGAUUAGAUUAAUUUCUUUUUGACACCAUUCAAACUUUGGAAAGCUUUAGAAGUGUUGUAACUUGAGGAAUAACCUUUGACCUCUCAAAGGUUAAGGAGCUAGCUCAUCUCAAAAGAACAGAGGAAAGGAGCAUUAGGCCAAGUGAUAGUAAUCACUUCUGUAGGCCUUUCUCUUUUUAUUUUGAUAUGUGUAUUUAGUUUAUGAUAUUGCCAACUAAGAUAAUAUAUUCUUGAUCUACUUGCAUUAUGGGUUUUGUGUUGGGAAAAAUGUAUUUUAGGCCCUGAGGAAUGUGGUUUGAUGCUUGUGCUAUAUUAACGGGCCAAAAUAUUUGUGUAAGUGAAAAUAGUUAAUAUUUGCCUAAUUUGAGAACUUGAAUGUUGUUAUGGUCUCCCCUUAUGUUUUUGAUGUCCAAGGGUGAACAGUUGAUAUUAAUUAUAUGUGAAUGAAAAGGAAAAUUCAUGUA
Long non-coding RNA from Prosopis cineraria, 1163 nucleotides. RefSeq lists it as uncharacterized. The transcript has 7 exons. NCBI's taxonomy places the organism in Eukaryota, Viridiplantae, Streptophyta, Magnoliopsida, Fabales, Fabaceae. The record is from RefSeq and is a predicted model, not a curated record.